UGCGGGGUCGUCUAAGUGGAAAGACGCCUGGCUUUGGACCAGGAGAUUCCAGGUUCGAGUCCUGGCCCCGCAGCCA
Molecule: transfer RNA, 76 nt
Filed under: Pseudomonadota bacterium
Lineage: Bacteria; Pseudomonadati; Pseudomonadota
Also listed under: 1 other name
Description: tRNA-Gln
Rfam family: tRNA
About the family: Transfer RNA (tRNA) molecules are approximately 80 nucleotides in length.
Source: RNAcentral